This 465-nucleotide ribosomal RNA is filed under the name uncultured bacterium. RNAcentral describes it as "partial 16S ribosomal RNA". It matches the Rfam family "Bacterial small subunit ribosomal RNA", at positions 28 to 506 of the family's 1533-position model. The record is from RNAcentral.
GAUGAACGCUGGCGGCGUGCUUAACACAUGCAAGUCGAACGAUGAAGCCCAGCUUGCUGGGUGGAUUAGUGGCGAACGGGUGAGUAACACGUGAGUAACCUGCCCUUGACUCUGGGAUAAGCCUGGGAAACUGGGUCUAAUACUGGAUAUGACUUCUCAUCGCAUGGUGGGGGGUGGAAAGAUUUAUUGGUCUUGGAUGGACUCGCGGCCUAUCAGCUUGUUGGUGAGGUAAUGGCUCACCAAGGCGACGACGGGUAGCCGGCCUGAGAGGGUGACCGGCCACACUGGGACUGAGACACGGCCCAGACUCCUACGGGAGGCAGCAGUGGGGAAUAUUGCACAAUGGGCGCAAGCCUGAUGCAGCGACGCCGCGUGAGGGAUGACGGCCUUCGGGUUGUAAACCUCUUUCAGUAGGGAAGAAGCGAGAGUGACGGUACCUGCAGAAGAAGCGCCGGAUAACUACGG